AAAGUAUCCCUUUCUUGCCUUUUUAUUAUUUUUGUCUGAGCGUUGGACUCUCGUGUAUGUUUUUUACCCUUGAGUAUUUAUGGGUUAUCUUCUCUCGAGCGUUUUGCGGGCUCUUUGUUGCCUGGACCUUUCUCUAGGUCAGCUGAGUUGGUUUGGUGUGAGUGGUCAAUUCUCGAGGUCGGUGCCUCUUAUAAUUGCCCCUGAUUCUCUGUUUGGCUUUGUAUUUUGGUAUGCAGUUUGCUUAGGAAUCGCCUUGCCUUAAUUCGGUCUGCCUAUUGGGUUUACCAGUACUGCGCUCGUUUUCUUGAGAUCGGCAUGGUGCUUUGAUACUUUUGGC
Molecule: long non-coding RNA, 337 nt
Filed under: Manihot esculenta (cassava)
Lineage: Eukaryota; Viridiplantae; Streptophyta; Magnoliopsida; Malpighiales; Euphorbiaceae
Description: long non-coding RNA (MESC_LNC008369)
Source: RNAcentral